UGUUUGGCGACCAUAGCGGUUUGGUCCCACUCCUUCCCAUCUCGAACAGGACAGUGAAACAAACCAGCGCCGAUGAUAGUAUAGUUCCUAUGCGAAAGUAGGUCAUCGCCAAACUCU
RNAcentral lists this ribosomal RNA (117 nucleotides) under Simonsiella muelleri (Scheibenbakterien Muller 1911). Lineage: Bacteria; Pseudomonadati; Pseudomonadota; Betaproteobacteria; Neisseriales; Neisseriaceae. The record is from RNAcentral.